CACUGUGCAGUUGACUACAGAGGGGGAGAGAGAGAGGGAGAAGGAGAGAGAGAGAGAGAGAGAGAGAGAGAGAGAGAGAGAGAGAGAGAGCUGCCCGCCGGCCCAUUGAGGAAAGAUGGCUACAGUCACUGCAAACGGAGUGCAGCAAGAGAAUGGAUUCAGCACCACGAACAGCGCCGGCAGGAUGAACGGGCUUACCAUCGGCCAGAACACCAUUCCAAUGAAGGACCACGACGCCAUCAAGCUUUUCAUCGGGCAGAUUCCCAGAAACCUGGAGGAAAAAGACCUGAAACCCCUGUUUGAGGAAUUCGGAAAGAUAUACGAACUCACAGUACUGAAAGACAGGUUUACGGGAAUGCAUAAAGGAUGUGCCUUUCUAACAUACUGUGCCAGAGAGUCAGCACUGAAGGCCCAGAGCGCCCUCCAUGAACAGAAGACUCUGCCAGGGAUGAACCGGCCCAUCCAGGUGAAGCCAGCCGACAGCGAAGGACGAGGAGAAGACAGGAAGCUGUUUGUGGGGAUGCUCGGCAAGCAGCAGAGCGAGGACGAUGUCCGGCGGCUGUUCGAGACCUUCGGCCAGAUCGAGGAGUGCACCGUCCUGCGAGGGCCUGAUGGGGCCAGUAAGGGCUGUGCCUUUGUCAAGUUCUCCAGCCACGCAGAAGCGCAGGCCGCCAUCAACAGCUUGCAUGGUGGACAGACUAUGCCUGGUGCCUCGUCCAGCCUGGUGGUCAAAUUUGCAGACACUGAUAAGGAGAGAACCCUGCGCAGGAUGCACCAGAUGGCGGGGCAGCUCGGCAUCUUCAGUCCCAUGACCAUCCAGUUUGGGGCCUAUGGCGCCUACUCUCAUGCUGUAAGUCUCAGCCCGGCGGGGGAGGAGACGCAGAUGAUGCAACAGCAAGCAGCCCUGAUGGCAGCAACACAAGGGUCCUACCUGAACCCUAUGGCAGCCAUCGCUGCCGCGCAAAUGCAGCAAAUGGCAGCUUUCAAUGUCAACGGCCUGGUGGCUACUCCCAUGACACCGUCCUCAGGCACCAGCACACCCCCGGGCAUCUCUGCCACAGCCGUGCCCAGCAUAGCCACCCCUAUUGGGGUCAACGGAUUCAGUGCCCUUCCGCCUCAAAGCAACGGGCAGCCCACAUCUGAGCCCAUCUACACCAAUGGUAUUCAUCCUUACCCAGCACAGAGUCCAACGGUGACCGACCCUCUCCAACAGGCUUAUGCUGGCGUCCAACACUACGCAGCAGCCUACCCUGCCGCCUAUGCGCCAAUCAGCCAAGCGUUCCCCCAGCAACCAACCAUCAUUCCCCAGCAACAGAGGGAAGGGCCAGAAGGUUGCAACCUGUUUAUUUAUCACCUGCCCCAGGAGUUUGGAGAUGCUGAGCUCAUGCAAAUGUUCCUACCUUUCGGUAACGUCAUCUCCGCCAAAGUCUUUGUGGAUCGAGCAACUAAUCAGAGCAAAUGUUUCGGCUUUGUGAGUUUUGAUAACCCGUCCAGUGCUCAAGCCGCUAUCCAGGCCAUGAACGGCUUUCAGAUAGGCAUGAAGAGGCUGAAGGUGCAGCUAAAGCGGCCAAAGGAUGCCAACCGACCUUACUGACUCGUCUGCUGUCCAUAUCCAGUGUGAGGUGGCCUUUCUCCGCUAUAGCCACACACCCCCCUACACCUGUCAUGGGGCCAAGUUCCCACAGCUGAUGAAGGGCCACAACACCUUAUUUCCACAAGUGCAGUAAAAGUACAAAGACUUCUUGCUCUGCUACAUAUCAUGAAGGAAGGGUGGUCCCUUGAUCCUGCUGGAAAGCCGCAGAAAGAUUGGGUGACUGAGAGGAGGAUCCCAGAGUUGUUGUUUUUUUUUUUUUUUUAUUUAUUUUAUUUUUGUUGUUCUUUCUUCGCAAAUGCCUCUUUUUUCCCUGUUUUGCUUUGGCGUCUGUGGAAGAAGAUUUUUUGCAGAGACCAACUUUUUGCUGCUGUUUUUUAGACAUGAUGGGAAAAAAAACCUUUAUAGACUCAUUAUGCUCAAAGCAUGCAUACUGACACAGGAUAUAGAUAAACACAUAACACAGAAAACAAACCAAACAUACACAUUUAAAGAAGCUACAUUUUAAAAAAUGAAAAAAAAAAAAAACUUACUUUGUACAUGUAUAAAUACGUGCAAAUGCCAACACAAGUACUGAAGCAAACUCAUGCGUGUGCGCGCGCACACACACACGAAUACACACAAACACACACACCAGCCUGCUGCCAUUUUGGUUUUUGUGCCUACACAGGUGUUGUGCUCUGUGACAGGGCAAGCUCUGGAUCGAAGAAGAAAACAAGAAGAAGAGGAGACAAGUGGAGAAUCCAGGAUAAUUUACAUGCAUCAUUCCUUAGGAAAUAGGGACCAAAGGACUAAACGCUUUUUAAAAGAAUAUAAAUAUAUAAAUAUAUAAAUAUAUAUUUAAAAACUCAUACCUUGUAGCUGCAAGUAUUACAAUUUACUCGUAGUCAAAAAAAAAAUCAUUAAAUCAAUAUCCAGUGGCCUACUGUAAGUACGAAUAAAAGAAAAUGGAAAUAAUGUAUAAAAAAGACAUGGAAUCGUAGUAUAGGGGCUGAUCUUUUGCUCUGGAUGCUGAUUUAGCACCAGGUUGUAGAAUAGUAAAGUAGACUAGAUUAAAAAAAAAUGUAGAUUUGCUAACUUUUGCUGUUGUUUAAAAAAAUACUUGAAGUCGUAAUGAAAAGGGGGCAAAGGGGGAAGGGGGAACAUUCAUCUGCCCCUGUACGCAACAAGUCUCUUUCUCUUGGAUGUUAAGGUGUCAGCCACUGGAUAUUUCGCUCAUCAUGAUGUACAAGUCACUGCACUCUCUGACAGCUAUCAACAGACUGUUCUGGACGGGGAAAAAAAAGAAUGACAAGAGAAAAAAAAAAGACUGAACUUAAAGAUGUCUGUGCUGGACAGGGUGCAGAUGUUUAAGGCUUCUCGCUAGCCUUUGUGUUCAAGCGACAAUCCACUGUAAAGACCAAGUAAAAUGGACAUGGGGUGUCUUCUGUUUGUUUGUUUUUUUCUGUUUUUUUCUUGACCUUUUUGUAUUGCAACAUGAAGUCUGAAUUGUGAAGCCACAAAUUGUCAAAAAAAAAGAAAUGGUUGAAAGACAAAUUGAAGAUGACGAAGGGAACAGUAAGUCGGGGAGGAAGAGUAAGGCGACAGCUACUGAAACUGCCAGCAGAAUGAACUCAGUGUUGAAACGAAUUGGCCCUUCUGGUGUUGGAAUUCCUUCAACAAAACUAACCAAGGAUGCAUGUGUCCACUGGAGCCGCUGCAAAACUUCAGACUAAGAAAAAAAAAUCAUCGUGUCUCUAGGCAGAUAAAAAACAAACAUUUUUCUGAAGACAAAUUUAAUUUACUGCAUUGAUGGCAAAGGAGUGCAGGCUUUUAGAGCUCAUUUCACUCUGUCAAAUAUAAUGUAAAUUCCACUGUUAACAUUUUCCCUGACCUGCUUUCUUCAUCUAUAAUACAAAAAGCCUAUGGGGGAAAAAAAGCUACUGCUUAAACAGGUUAUAUCUAAAUUAAUUCCAACAGUCACUCUUAACCAUCAUUCAUCAUUUGCCUGUAGCUUCACUGACACUGAUGUCAAGCAAGGCAGAGUAAAGCACUACAGCACUGUCAUGUCUUGAUUUAGAGUUCUGUAGCCUUUAUUUUGACUGUUAUAGAGCUCUGGAAACAGCCUCGUCUCUAAAACCAGAUCAAUAUGUUUGGAGUGAGUCUAGAGGGAGGAGCAAUGCUGUUUCAGUCACUAUGAGCACUUCCCAAUUUUCUCCGCCGAACACCAGCUCACAUCCGUACACCAGCCUUCUGAGCACAGACAGCUGGCAGUAAGAGGCAGGACUAGGCAAGAAGGAGGGAGAGAGCAGGCAGAAGAGAGGAAGUCAACAACUCAGCAUCACAUCCUUUACACUGAUGCAUCUACGUUGAUGCCCAAUGAUUGAACCGAUAAAAUUAGAAGCUGUAAUCAAGCUCCCGGUGACAAACAUGAUAGAUCUGUGCUAUGUGCUUUCAAAGAUCAGGGUUUAGGGGUUAAUUGAGAUUGCAGUUUAGUACUUUAGGCACCGAUCCAUUCAGUUUAUGUUUACUACUGAGACUCUUCUCUGUGCCGUCACCUCCCUCUUUCUCGCCUAAAGCAAAAAAGCAAACCCGAAGUGUUCCAAUUUACUGAAGGUAAAACUGAUAAAAAAAAAAAAGUGCCAGCAGAUUCAAGAGUUUUUAAUGUACUGCCUUUGUCAUUUAGAUAAGAUGAACGUCUUGAUUUCAUUCCUUGAUAUGAGCAUGCCAUGUACUGCCUAUCUUCCCCCCUGUGCCAAGAUCAGCAAAGCCUUUCCAAAACCACAGCAAAACUGUUCAGCGGCUCUCCCCUCGGAACAGCAUUUUCGAACCUGGCUAAUGUCUGUGCUCACUACCCUUCAAUUAUCUCCUGCACCAUAUUAGACAUGCUAUUUCACCUUUCCCUCUAAUCACACUGUAAUCAUGAGCCUCUAUACAUUAGCAGCAACCAAGUGAAAAAUCACCGGGAUAAUCACUUGGACCAAAUGACGGGAGAGAUGGUCCCCUGCAUGCACAUGGAUGACAGAAGGAAGAUUAGAGAGAAUUAUGUUUGUGCCUACUCCCUGGCAAGGCUGCUGACAGCUGACCUGGCACCAAUAAUACAGUCGAAUUUACCCGAAGAGCCAACGGAGGAUGUGGAAUAAAACCUUCCAUAUCAUAGCAAGUUGUUAAUAUUGCAGAGUCGAUCCACAUUACCAAAAACUAAAGGAAUAGGGUUGACAGCAAAAUGUAUUUCGUUUUUCUCUGUACCACAAAUGUUGGAGCAAUAGUUGCUUAAAAUGGGGUCGAAACCAACAAUUUUGCGGGAAAUGCUCUAUUCUGUUGAAGCAGCUGCUGCGUUAUUGUGUGUCUUUUUUCAGCAGCAAAAUUGUAUCUCAGCAGUCAACCACAGAGGUCACCAUUUUUUUUUACAAAAUAACUUGCUCACACUUCUUUCUCUUGCCUGCAUCCCUGCUGCGACUCCUGCAAAGCACAGCGUUGUUCACCACUAAAGGAAAAAAUAAGUGAAGCACAGUAGUUCUUCAGAUUCAAAAUGAUGCCCAUCAAAUGACAAGUUUUUUGUUUUUUUUAUUGCCUCUGAAUGCAUUUAAAGUAAAACCCAGCUCUCCUUCCUCUGGCCCUGAUUUGACAUAUGGUGGAAAUGCAGGAAGCUUCAUGAAUUAAUUUGUGAAGUGGGUCAAAACAAAGCCAUGUUCUACAAACCGUUUGUGCUCAUUAUUUAUGUGAAGCUGAACUAAUCAAUGAGGAAUCUAAUGUUCCGUGAGCAACGAAAUUUCCUGUGCUUGUCUUGGUCAUGUCUAGAAUACAUUCUGCAACAUGAACCCUGCCUGCCUGCUCAUCUGAUCUUAUCUGUCUUAUACCAGAUGCUGUACUAGUUCCCACUACUGAUGGCAGGUUGAGUCCCCAGUGAGCCAAAACCCAGUCUAGCCUAGUAUCAUGCUGUCUGCUUGGCUAACAGUGCAGUGUUCAUGUAGCAUCUCUGCUAUGCCAGAGCCAAAUUAGGCAAUGUGAAAUCAGCACUUCAACACUUUUAACAAGGGUGCUCCUAUUACUUUUACACCCAGGGGAGAAUGUUGCUGAAAUGACGUGCGUUAAAGGCAGAAAUAGCUGUGAAACAUGUGCUGCAACUACCGAAAUGAGAAAAAGUUUGUUUUUAGAUAUUCUCAUUACACAUUUAUUUAAAGGUUCUCUGCCUGCUUUGCCCUUAGCCUCAGUGUGGUCUGGUUUUUAGUCCAGGCUAUGUUUCACCUCUAAGAGCACCGACAAAUGUCAACCCAGCGGGCACUCACCAAGCUGUUGCCAAACUGUGAUUUGAUAUUUGCCCUCGAAUUUACAUAGUGAAAAUGUAACUUGGCAUUUUUUGCCUAAAGGAAUUAGUAUGAAUCUAAUUAAUUGUGAGAAUAUAAUAUUUACCAUGCUAGUUGAAACAUUAUGAGGACGUGAAAAAUUGCACAGAGCUCAAAAAGCAUACAGCUUCUCUUCUGUGUGGCCAAAUUGCACUGCCUUUAUUUAGCAUAUCACAGUGAGUGGUGAACUUAAGGCAUACUUGAGUAUGCUCCGUUAUUCCUCAUUGAGCAUUUACAACCUUUGCUGCUCAACCACUGAUGCAUGUACUCACUCAGAAAUUGGGAAUAUAUACACACAGUAUACCCAUUUCCUCAGUUACCACUACACCACCGCUCACAACGUCUGUCCUCCAGAGGAGCAUGUAUCCUUAGAUGGUCCCAGCCAAUAGCAGGAGAGAGCAGAGGACUGCUAGAGCAUGAAUCUCCAACCCCCUGGGUGCAUAACACUCACCCUAAAAUAGCAGUGAUUGUCAAGGAAAGGAAGUGAAAUGUAAUUGACUGAAAGUGGAGAGAUAAUUAAAGGAACCUGUUGGACAGGAGGGAAGAAAUUAAUGCCUCUCAUUUAAUAGCUGCUUUGGGAGGGAGCUUUUCCGUCAUCUCACUUUAGCACAGAAAGGGUUUUGCUAUGGAAAUGGGAUUUUGUAUAGAAAAAGGUGGUGGUGGAAAUGGUGGAAAUAGGCACUGGGUGGUGGGGGUGCUGUGUGCUAAACUGAAACUCCACAAAAUCAGUCCCAAUACUCAGGGCAUCAGGCACUAUGAUGUCAUGAUUAGUGGAGAGGUUCAGAGCCUUGCCUUACCCCUGAUCCCGAAGGAGGUCGAGUUGAUAAAUAUGGCAGUAGGAGCAGUACGAUUGCAUCCCAUCGUGGACAGUGCUGAGCCAGCAGAAGGGCUGAUAAACCACAUAAAUCGUGCGUUGGAUUUUUAGCCUCAUCAUCCGAUUCCAAGAGAAACAAAGAAAUGAGAAAAGAUGCCAUUUUCCACCGACAAUGCAUAAUGAACUGCUGGAGGUGUGCAAUUAUGUUUAGCAACACGGCAGAGUAAUGAAGACAAAGACUUUUUUUUAAUUCCUUAAUGUAAAUAGCCUAUAAAAUAUGAAAACGGAGGAAGGUUGUACAGCAACUUGUGUUGAGAAGCCCAACUCUGUGGGACAAUGAUGUCACUAUAAAAUGUAUCCACAGCAGUGCAGGGAUUUAGGAGAGUUUUAGUCCUUUUAAGCCCCUUAGGUUUGGGCUGUGAACAUGCAUCCUACAACCCUAAGCGUCGGACCAAGGCUUAGAGAGUAUUUGACUUAGUGUCAAACCUAAGCCACGGCCACGAAGUGAUCCGUUAAUUAAGAUUCUGUGUACACCGACAUGUCAUGAUUUUUCUGACAGAAGAAAGAUCGCCUAUGCGGUAAUUGGAUUAGUCCAAUUGGGGCUGAUGAACAGAUAUGACAGUGACAGUAGAGUUCAUCCAUCUGCAUGCUUUCCGCCUGACAGUGAGAAAAGAAAAAAAAAAGAAGAAGAAAAAAGAAAGCAUCAGCCACCAUCACAUUUUUUUCAGAUUCUUGGGAAGUGGAAGUUCAGGCUUUACAGCUUUUAAAGAAGCUAGUUUUACAAAAUGAAAUUCCAGGUAACAGUUUGUUCAACAUGUACAUAAAUCAUUUUAGAAUCAAACAUUUAAUGCACACGGUUGAAACUGUAUGUACAUGGUUAGGCUGAGAUUGGAGGAAAGGGACAAACAAGAGAGCAAUUAUUGUAGAUCCCAGCAGAACCCCCUGCGUGCUUGACCCAAUCUGCCACUGCUCUCCUGACCACACAGCUGCAUUACACGUGUACAUAAAUUAUAGCUUAUUUUUCAAUUCUGUUCAACAUUCUUUAUAGGCCGUACAAUAGAUCAUGUUCAAUCGUUUAAAAAAAUAAAAAAUAAAAUAAAAGAAUAGUUAAUAUAUUUCAGUGAAACUAAGAAAAGGAACCUAUGAAAUAAUUUAUCAAAAACAGAAGAUAAAAUGAUUUUAUUUCUUGUACAGUGAAGCACUGAUGUUCAAAAAUGGGAUUUUUAUACUCAUGUUGGUAAAUGGUACUUUAUUUUCUCUCUUUUGUUUUGCUAUUAUCGGCUGAAGCUGGGAUAGACCCAUUGUCAUGAGGUUUAUUCAGAUAUGCUUUGAUCAUUUUUCUUCUUUCCUUCAUUUUUUUUGGUUGCACAAUCCCUGUGUGAAUUCCCUUGUGGAUGGGCAAGUUCAAAGAGAUUUUGCUCACUGAAAGCUCUUAAAUCAAUCCAAGAAUUAACAAACUGCACUGUAAAAGGAUGACUGAUGGUACUGGUCAUGUGGAUUCAGAAAAAAAGAAAGAGUCCAUUGCACAACUGAGUUCAAAUGGAUCCGCAUUGCAUGUUCAAAAAGAAUCUUAUUUGAGGCCUUUUGUUGUUUUGAGAAAAAAAGAGAAAAAAAUCUAACUUUGCCAUCAGAUUGGUUUUGGGACCUAUGCUGUCAUAUCUAAUUGUCUUUAAGCCAUGGUUGGUUUAAUGUAAUGCUCUUCUCUUUAUGUACUUCCUUUUUUGAAAUGUUCAUCAUUGACAUAUCUCUGAGUUUCCAUUUUUCUGUUCCUUUCUAUGGGACCUUUCUUCCACAGUUUGUUAUCUAAUGCGACUCCAGCUACUGAGGUAGUAGAUAGCGAGACAUUUCUUUACUCCAGUCAGGUUGGUUUGUUCAUGUGAGGAGGGAAUUCUGCCUUAAACCCUGCCUGGUCUCUCUGACAGUACUACCUGUGAACAGUGGUCGGACACACUGUAUUCUGGGGAUGCCAAAUGCUCUUUAAAGCAAACACGUUGCCAGAGUCAGUUUUGCCUCAAGCCCAUUCUGACACAAACAAGGAUGUGGUCAUCCACCUCCAUUUCCAUUGGUUACAAGGACCAAAAUGUAAACAAACUCAGCUAACUGAGCAGUUUGCUUCAAUCAAGCAUCCAAUGAGAGCCUUUAAAGUGUUCACAUUUAGUCAUAGAUAAUUUUGAACCAUGCAUCUUUGUAUCAUGAAUCAUUACAUUCCCAGCUUUACUAUCUGAUCUCACUGUCUUCAUUUGUCUUCAUGCAAAAUUAAUUUGUCAUAAUAUAUUUAGGUAUUUAAAUUCAUAAUGUAUGGAAUAAUCAUUUCUUUUAUUAUUUGACUUGAACAAACUGAAUUUUAUUUGAAACAGAGAUGUAAUUUGAAUUAGCGUUGGCUCGGGUCCGUUUCCCUGAUUCGGGAUGAUAUCUCCCAUAGUGCUCCUGAACUCUGUAGUUCUCUAGUUCAUUAUAUUCUGCUUAGACUAAAAUAAAGCACAGUCCUGUAGAAGA
Molecule: RNA transcript, 9226 nt
Organism: Acanthochromis polyacanthus (spiny chromis)
Lineage: Eukaryota; Metazoa; Chordata; Actinopteri; Pomacentridae
Gene: celf6
Gene name: CUGBP Elav-like family member 6
Exons: 14
Source: RefSeq, a predicted model, not a curated record